CCUGUCUUUUAUGUUAAUCACAAAAAAUCUUAAUUCUUUAGUUUCAAAUUUUAUUUGAUUUGAUUUUAAGGCGGUGAUGAAUUUAUGUAUACCAUCAAACUUUGAAAGCUAAAUUAGCUCGGUGAUGCCAACUAUACAAUCUGAGCCUUGUUUUGCUUAAACUUGUUUUAAUUUUAAUUUGAUUUUAGUGUUUUGGAUUUAUUGAAUGAAAAGGCAACAAUUUAGAGUCUCUGAUUCGCUUAUUUGAUAGUGAUUUCAUUAACUGAGAUUCUGGUAUUAGCCAUCGAUCUUCCUAAAUUUUCAAUUUUUUGUAAAUUCUGUUUUUUUAAAUGUUUUCUAGGUUUAUAUUAUAGUGACAAUUAUUUUGAUUUUAAUUUUUGCUAAAUCAUCUUUUUUUUUUUUUUGUUGUUGAAAAACCAGUAUUCAUUGUUGUUUAGUUGAAAUUGUUGUGUAUUUGAUCGGUUUAUUUAAGAUUUAUUGAAAUGUUAUAUAUGAAUCUGUUCUCCUCGAUUUUUUUGUAAUGUUUCUGUUCUAGUUCAAUGUUUGCUAAUACAUUUAUUACUUUCCAGUAGUAUGGAACUAAAGACUCUCUAGUUUCCACAGGCGAUUAUCCCUGACAGUGGAAACACCUAUUCAGGCAUUAGACAAGAUUAGGUUCCUUUCCCUCACCGACAAGGAGAUUUUAGGUGAAGGCUACACUGUCAAGCUUGAAAUCCAGGCAUUUGACAAGAUUAGGUUCUUUUCCCUCACCGACAAGGAGAUUUUAGGUGAAGGCUACACUGUCAAGCUUGAAAUCCAGGCUUUAGACAAGAUUAGGUUCCUUUCCCUCACUGACAAGGAGAUUUUAGGUGAAGGCGACAAUGUCAAGCUUGAAAUCCAGGUUAGAAUUGCUAAAUAUUUAAUUUAAGCAUCUAUUUAUAUCAUUACUUUAGAUUAGUUAAUUAGUUUAUUUUUCCUAUAUUAUUUUUGUUAGCUUAUGAUGAAUACCUAAGAAAUUCUUAUAGUUAAUUGCUUUUUUAGUGGUUUAUUUUGUAUAAUUAUGCUGCUGAGGAUCCGUGUUGAAACUUCUCUUCUGGUUUGCCUUUAUGAAUAUAUGAUUGUAUGGUCUCACUUCUAUGAUAUGUAUACCCUUGUUUGUGCCAAUUAUACUUCUAUACCCUUGUUUGUAGCAUCGAACAAACACAAAGAACUGGGUAAUUUCAUAUUGGGAAGGACAAUGGUUAUUAGCCAUCUGAUGUAGUUAUCUAUUAAAACUCAUCAAAUUACUUCCAAAUUUGAGGAGAAAAAGAUUCUGAGUUUGUAAUCUUAAAGUGUAACUCUAAGUUUUAUAGUGGGAAACAUAAAUACAUUUAUUAACUCCUGGGAUAUGUCCUGAAAUCAGUCUUUUCAUUUCCUUUGAUGAACACGAUCUAUGAUAUUUCAAGGUAUCAGUUCUUUGGUGAUUCCAGUAUUAUGAUUAUUAGAGUAAUUAAUUGUGAUUUGUUGAUUAAAUAGUUAAAUCAUAUGUUUAGUUCUACCUGUAUAUAAUUAAAUUUGUUGAGAAAUGCAACAAUUUCUUUUUCACCUAUUCCAUGGUGAUUCAGUUAUGAACGUUGCCAACAAUAAUUUGGAUCUGAAAUUCUGGCAUUGGCCCUUGUUUUUUCCACAGGCUUAUGCAUAGGCACAUAUCUUACAUACGAGGAGUGUGAAUUGGGGU
Long non-coding RNA from Trifolium pratense (red clover), 1696 nucleotides. RefSeq lists it as uncharacterized. The record is from RefSeq and is a predicted model, not a curated record. Lineage: Eukaryota; Viridiplantae; Streptophyta; Magnoliopsida; Fabales; Fabaceae. The transcript has 4 exons.